This 497-nucleotide ribosomal RNA is filed under the name uncultured bacterium. RNAcentral describes it as "partial 16S ribosomal RNA". It matches the Rfam family "Bacterial small subunit ribosomal RNA", at positions 28 to 507 of the family's 1533-position model. The record is from RNAcentral.
GAUGAACGCUGGCGGCGUGCCUAAUACAUGCAAGUCGAGCGAACAGACGAGGAGCUUGCUCCUCUGACGUUAGCGGCGGACGGGUGAGUAACACGUGGAUAACCUACCUAUAAGACUGGGAUAACUUCGGGAAACCGGAGAUAAUACCGGAUAAUAUAUUGAACCGCAUGGUUCAAUAGUGAAAGACGGUUUUGCUGUCACUUAUAGAUGGAUCCGCGCCGCAUUAGCUAGUUGGUAAGGUAACGGCUUACCAAGGCAACGAUGCGUAGCCGACCUGAGAGGGUGAUCGGCCACACUGGAACUGAGACACGGUCCAGACUCCUACGGGAGGCAGCAGUAGGGAAUCGUCCGCAAUGGGCGAAAGCCUGACGGAGCAACGCCGCGUGAGUGAUGAAGGUCUUCGGAUCGUAAAACUCUGUUAUGAGGGAAGAACAAAUGUGUAAGUAACUAUGCACGUCUUGACGGUACCUAAUCAGAAAGCCACGGCUAACUACGUG